UACGGAAGGCAGCAGUGGGGAAUAUUGCACAAUGGGCGAAAGCCUGAUGCAGCUAUGCCGCGUGUAUGAAGAAGGCCUUAGGGUUGUAAAGUACUUUCAUCGGGGAGGAAAAACAAAACUAAUAAUUUUAUUUCUUGACGUUACCCGAAAAAGAAGCACCGGCUAACUCCGUGCCAGCAGCCGCGGUAAUACGGAGGGUGCUAGCGUUAAUCAGAAUUACUGGGCGUAAAGAGCACGUAGGUGGUUUUUUUAAGUCAGAUGUGAAAUCCCUGGGCUUAACCUAGGAACUGCAUUUUGAAACUGAAAUACUAGAGUAUCGUAGAGGGAGGUAGAAUUCUAGGUGUAGCGGUGAAAUGCGUAGAUAUCUGGAGGAAUACCUGUGGCGAAAGCGGCCUCCUAAACGAAUACUGACACUGAGGUGCGAAAGCGUGGGGAGCAAACAGGGAUUAGAUACU
RNAcentral lists this ribosomal RNA (455 nucleotides) under uncultured bacterium. RNAcentral's name for it is "bacterial SSU rRNA". It matches the Rfam family "Bacterial small subunit ribosomal RNA", at positions 340 to 786 of the family's 1533-position model. The record is from RNAcentral.